GAUGAACGCUGGCGGCGUGCCUAAUACAUGCAAGUCGAGCGAACAGACGAGGAGCUUGCUCCUCUGACGUUAGCGGCGGACGGGUGAGUAACACGUGGAUAACCUACCUAUAAGACUGGGAUAACUUCGGGAAACCGGAGCUAAUACCGGAUAAUAUAUUGAACCGCAUGGUUCAAUAGUGAAAGACGGUUUUGCUGUCACUUAUAGAUGGAUCCGCGCCGCAUUAGCUAGUUGGUAAGGUAACGGCUUACCAAGGCGACGAUGCGUAGCCGACCUGAGAGGGUGAUCGGCCACACUGGAACUGAGACAUGGUCCAGACUCCUACGGGAGGCCGCAGUAGGGAAUCUUCCGCAAUGGGCGAAAGCCUGACGGAGCAACGCCGCGUGAGUGAUGAAGGUCUUCGGAUCGUAAAACUCUGUUAUUAGGGAAGAACAAAUGUGUAAGUAACUAUGCACGUCUUGACGGUACCUAAUAAGAAAGCCACGGCUAACUACGUG
Molecule: ribosomal RNA, 497 nt
Filed under: uncultured bacterium
Lineage: Bacteria
Description: partial 16S ribosomal RNA
Rfam family: Bacterial small subunit ribosomal RNA
Source: RNAcentral